GACGGGAGGUGCACUGUUCUCGUCAGCAUUACUGGGCGUACAGGGUGUGUAGGCUGUAAAUAAAGUUGGAUAGUUACUGAUGUAAUGUUGUAUAACGCAUCCAAUACUUAUUUGCUCGAGUUGUGUAGGUGCUUAUGGAACUAUACAGAUUUUUUUGCAUUGAAAAGCUUAAACUGUUAGGAACGCCAGUAGGUGAAAACGAGAAGCAACACAUAACUGACGCUAAUGCACGAAAGCGUGGGUAU
Molecule: ribosomal RNA, 245 nt
Filed under: uncultured bacterium
Lineage: Bacteria
Description: partial 16S ribosomal RNA
Rfam family: Bacterial small subunit ribosomal RNA
Source: RNAcentral